GAUCCUGGCUUAGGAUUAACGCUGGCGGCGUGCCUAAUACAUGCAAGUCGAAUGGUAGUAGCAAUACAAACCAUGGCGAACGGGUGAGUAACACGUAGGUAACCUGUCUUUAAGACGAGGAUAACCGUUGGAAACGACGGAUAAUACUGGAUAGGACAUUAAAUGGGGCAUCCCAAAAUGUUUAAAGAUUAUUAGUGUCACUUAGAGAGGGGCCUGCGGCGCAUUAGCUAGUUGGUGAGAUAACAGCCCACCAAGGCGAUGAUGCGUAGCCGGACUGAGAGGUUGAACGGCCACAAUGGGACUGAGAACGGCCCAUACUCCUACGGGAGGCAGCAGUAGGGAAUUUUCGGCAAUGGGCGCAAGCCUUAGACCGAGCAACGCCGCGUGAACGAAGAAGUUAUUCGUAAUGUAAAGUUCUUUUAUCUGGGAAGAAAAAACAAAUUGACGGUACCAGAUGAAUAAGCUCCGGCUAACUACGUGCCAGCAGCCGC
RNAcentral lists this ribosomal RNA (491 nucleotides) under uncultured bacterium. Its description in RNAcentral is "bacterial SSU rRNA". It matches the Rfam family "Bacterial small subunit ribosomal RNA", at positions 15 to 518 of the family's 1533-position model. The record is from RNAcentral.